UUUUGUAUAAUGGGUCAGCGACUUAUAUUCUGUAGCAAGGUUAACCGAAUAGGGGAGCCGAAGGGAAACCGAGUCUUAACUGGGCGUUAAGUUGCAGGGUAUAGACCCGAAACCCGGUGAUCUAGCCAUGGGCAGGUUGAAGGUUGGGUAACACUAACUGGAGGACCGAACCGACUAAUGUUGAAAAAUUAGCGGAUGACUUGUGGCUGGGGGUGAAAGGCCAAUCAAACCGGGAGAUAGCUGGUUCUCCCCGAAAGCUAUUUAGGUAGCGCCUCGUGAAUUCAUCUCCGGGGGUAGAGCACUGUUUCGGCAAGGGGGUCAUCCCGACUUACCAACCCGAUGCAAACUGCGAAUACCGGAGAAUGUUAUCACGGGAGACACACGGCGGGUGCUAACGUCCGUCGUGAAGAGGGAAACAACCCAGACCGCCAGCUAAGGUCCCAAAGUCAUGGUUAAGUGGGAAACGAUGUGGGAAGGCCCAGACAGCCAGGAUGUUGGCUUAGAAGCAGCCAUCAUUUAAAGAAAGCGUAAUAGCUCACUGGUCGAGUCGGCCUGCGCGGAAGAUGUAACGGGGCUAAACCAUGCACCGAAGCUGCGGCAGCGACACUAUGUGUUGUUGGGUAGGGGAGCGUUCUGUAAGCCUGCGAAGGUGUACUGUGAGGUAUGCUGGAGGUAUCAGAAGUGCGAAUGCUGACAUAAGUAACGAUAAAGCGGGUGAAAAGCCCGCUCGCCGGAAGACCAAGGGUUCCUGUCCAACGUUAAUCGGGGCAGGGUGAGUCGACCCCUAAGGCGAGGCCGAAAGGCGUAGUCGAUGGGAAACAGGUUAAUAUUCCUGUACUUGGUGUUACUGCGAAGGGGGGACGGAGAAGGCUAUGUUGGCCGGGCGACGGUUGUCCCGGUUUAAGCGUGUAGGCUGGUUUUCCAGGCAAAUCCGGAAAAUCAAGGCUGAGGCGUGAUGACGAGGCACUACGGUGCUGAAGCAACAAAUGCCCUGCUUCCAGGAAAAGCCUCUAAGCAUCAGGUAACAUCAAAUCGUACCCCAAACCGACACAGGUGGUCAGGUAGAGAAUACCAAGGCGCUUGAGAGAACUCGGGUGAAGGAACUAGGCAAAAUGGUGCCGUAACUUCGG
This 1130-nucleotide ribosomal RNA is filed under the name Escherichia coli. RNAcentral describes it as "partial 23S ribosomal RNA". It matches the Rfam family "Bacterial large subunit ribosomal RNA", at positions 606 to 1739 of the family's 2925-position model. The record is from RNAcentral. Lineage: Bacteria; Pseudomonadati; Pseudomonadota; Gammaproteobacteria; Enterobacterales; Enterobacteriaceae.